AAACUAACCAGGAUUCCCUUAGUAACGGCGAGUGAAGCGGGACAAGCUCAGACUGAAAAUCUUCGGAAUUGUAGUCUGGAGAAGUCAAAUCAACUUCAAGUUUCGGAUAAAGUCUCUUGGAACAGAGCGCCGUGGAGGGUGAUAGCCCCGUUCAUGUCUGAAACGAAAAGUGUACGAUUGGCUUUCUAAGAGUCGAGUUGUUUGGGAUUGCAGCUCUAAGUGGGUGGUAAAUUCCAUCUAAAGCUAAAUAUAAAUGGGAGACCGAUAGCGAACAAGUACCGUGAGGGAAAGAUGCAAAGAACUUUGAAAAGAGAGUUAAAUAGUACCUGAAAUUGCUGAAAUGGAACCGAUGGGAGGCAGUGUCGGCUGGGUGGUACUUGUAUCAUUUAGCAAGUCAGGCUUUCUUAGUUAUGUGGGAAAGGCUUCUAGACCAGUUUGGGCUAGUUUUGCUGUCAUGUGACUGAGAGACUCUGACGAAAUGCCUCUUAUCAAC
RNAcentral lists this ribosomal RNA (493 nucleotides) under uncultured fungus. RNAcentral describes it as "eukaryotic LSU rRNA". It matches the Rfam family "Eukaryotic large subunit ribosomal RNA", at positions 62 to 648 of the family's 3401-position model. The record is from RNAcentral. Lineage: Eukaryota; Fungi.